AUUGAACGCUGGCGGCAGGCCUAACACAUGCAAGUCGAACGGAGUGGCGGACGGGUGAGUACUGUCUGGGAAAAUGCCCGAUGGAGGGGGAUAACUACUGGAAAAGGUAGCUAAUACCGCAUACACUCAGAUGAGCCUAGGUCGGAUUAGCUAGUUGGGGGGGUAAAGGCCUACCAAGGCAACGAUCCGUAAAUGGUCUGAGAGGAGGAUCAGUCACACUGGAACUGAGACACGGGCCAGACUCCUACGGUAGGCAGCAGUGGGGAAUAUUGGACAAGGGGCGAAAGCCUGAUCCAGCCAUGCCGCGUGUGUGAAGAAGGUCUUCGGAUUGUAAAGCACUUUAAGUUGGGAGGCGGUACCAACAGAAUAAGCACCGGCUAACUACGUGCCAGCAGCCGCGGUAAUAC
This 407-nucleotide ribosomal RNA is filed under the name uncultured bacterium. RNAcentral's name for it is "partial 16S ribosomal RNA". It matches the Rfam family "Bacterial small subunit ribosomal RNA", at positions 30 to 526 of the family's 1533-position model. The record is from RNAcentral.